UGCCAUUUGUGGUAACAAAGGCUGUGGCUCUGAGAAACAGGCCAAGGAUUGAGUGACUCCAGCUGGUAUGUCAAGGGCAUCUUCAACAUCCAGCUGUUAUCUGUCUUACAUCAGCAGUGGAUGCAUCCUCAAGUGUGAAGGAGGGACAAGACUACUACAAGAUUUAAAAAAAACUCAGAAAACCAAAUCAUAUUAAUCAUUGUUAUACUUCCUUUGAGGAGUACAAAAUGAAACAUCUGUGAUUUCUGAGACACUUAUAAUUUGGAUCAAUGAGGAAAGAGAGAGGAAUGAUACUUGAGCUUACAAUCAAUGACAGAGACUGUAAUUAGCUGGUAGGUAACCUUAUCUGAUGGAAGAUCCUAUUGAACAGCUAAGAAAUCAGAUUUGCCUCACAUUAGGAUCAGGCUGACAAUAGGUGAGUUUCAUUCUUUUACACUAUAACUUAAGUACAUAGAUUUCUAACAAAAGCCAUCUUAUGAAGACUCAUAAGUAAUAAUUUGAAAGAUCUAAGAGAAUUCAGGUUAAUUAAUGUAACUGUUCAGGUUAAUAUAACUGUUCAGGACAAGGGCUCUGUCCAAAUGAAUCUUACCACCUUUAUUUGUAACUGAAUCCACAAAUAAAGGUGUUAGAGUAUCCAAUCACAUCAUUACUUCCUUCUCAAAAUCAGACAAAUAGGAAUGAAUGAAACAGAAGCUAACAUGUCAGAGAAAGAACAGAAAAAAAUUGAGAAGUCAUGAAGAUCUGUCUUGCAGAAAAAGAGGGAGUUAAGAGCUUCAAGGCAAGUCUUGAGAUUUACAGGUGUUGAGCUCACUAUGAGCUCACCUAUCACUUAGGUCUCUCAGAAAACAUAGAUAUGAACAACAGAGGAAGGUCUGACAUUUCUUUUUUUGUAAUGCCCUUCCCUUGUGCCUGUCUCCUUCUGCAUGUGAAAAACAUAUUGACUCCUCAGAGACAUCUAGUAAUGGCUUUUUUCCAGAACAUAUCCAGUCACUUCUUAGUUAAGGAGGCUAAUCCUGCUCCUGCUGUUUAUUUUCACCCUCAGCACGAAUAGGGGCUCUUGUUGAGAGACGCUAACAAGCGCGUGUCAUUUGCUGUGCCCAAAGCUAAGGCUUCCCCACCCUCCUGCCUCUGUUUCACACUGAAUUCAACCAGACUGCUAUUACCUGUGCUCAACAACAGAAAUGUUGGGAUCACCUGAUACUGCUAACAGUUUCACUUCCAUGUAACUUCAGUCACUCCUUGUCAAGGAAAAAGUUUGGGCAUUCAAGUGAAGGCUGAAUAGCUGCAGUAAACUGGAAAAAUGUGCCAACUUUCUUCUGCAAAGCUUUUUCUAUUUCAAAAGAAAUCUUACAGCCACCAAGGCAGACAACUUUACUGAAAGACACCUGCAGAGAUGAGUCAAUUAACUUCAUGCUCUUUCCAGAAAGCUUCAAUACCCAUUACCCAGCUUGGUAAGAAUUUAUUCUUCUUCCUAACUGGAAAAGCAAAAGCAAAGCUGAGGGGUAGCAUGGCUCAUGAAAACUAUUACACUUGAUGCCUUUAAAAUGAGCAAAUGUUAUUUGAACUCUGAACACCCUCUCUCAAUUUCCAAAUUCCUCUCAUUAUUAAAUGCACUUUUUCUCAAUACCCCAUAUUACAGGAACUUUGAAAAGCUUCAGUCACAAAAGAGUACACACUUAGCUAUUUAACAUUAAGGUAUUCUUGCUUUAAAUUAAAAAAUAUGUACUUUCUUAAAUACUUUAAUGUAGGUCUGCAUAUAUCUUGUAUGUAUUUGUCUCUUGACUAACAGAGAACUGCAGAUCCUCUCUUCAGCAGAAAGAAUGUAACAGAGAAACACAAUUUGUUUAAUGUACACUAUGUUUAGGCUACUCAGUUAGAAACUAAAGCAAACAUUCUUCAUCUCUUAAUGUGACAGUGUGAAAAACUUCAGUUGAGGAGGGGACAACAGCAACGAAACCCAAACUUCAUACCCUUCAAGUCUACACUUCAGAAGAGUCUUAGAGCUACAAUCUCAAACUGCAGUGUUAGCUGGCAAGGUGGGCUCAGCCAACUCCAACCAACAUCUACAGAGAAGAUUGAGCAUUUCCACUCUAACCACAGCAAGAACAACACAUAUUACUACAAGGAAAAUACUGCAGUUCCUUGGUGAGAGUUAAUCCACCAGAACAACAUUUUGCAUUCAGGGAGAACCAGAAAAUACUAGCAAGUGCUCUAAAGACCAGCCUCCCUACCUCCAACAACCCUGUUUUCAGCAAGAAAAAAAACAUCCAAACAGACACUACAGCCAAGCCAAGAAAUGGAGCUGCUGCAGGAACAAGAAAAUAUGGAGAAUCCAGAGCAGGCUGACAGCCUGCUCUUCCAAACAGCCUGGAAGAAUUAGCAGAUUUUGGAAAGAAGAGUUAUAAGUAUCAAGGACUAUACCUCAGCCUAGUCUGUCCUCAUUUAUCAUCCUCAUUCAUAUUUUCAAGUGUUAGUGUGAAACUGAGAAGGCUCUGCAAUUAGAUGACUAAUAAACGAAAAAUUAGUGAGCACUGCCAACUGCCAAGAUGAGAGGCUUGAGUUUGAAGUUCAAACAAUGCAAAGAUUAGGGUAAAAUUUACAUAAUCCUUUAGCCUAAGGAUGGAGCUUGUUAUUGAGGUGUUCUUAACCACUCUGUUCAGCUUCUGAACACAAGAGCAUUUUAUCAGUUCUGCACAAAUAAAUGUCGCUUUUCAGGCUUUCAAUCUCAGGACACAAGCAGAAACUGGAGCCAGUAAGAACAUUUUGAUCCUAGUAAACUGGCAAAAGAAAUUGCUCCUAGUAAAAAAAAAUAUCACUGGCCUCUAAAAAAUUACAGUGAUUUCCUCCAUCAAGUGACUCACAGCAACCCAACUAUUUAAAAUUCCCUUGAAAUCUUUUGUUUCUCCUCUCAGAUUUUUAUAUGCAACGCAUGAUGCAAAGUUUAAAAUGAUCCAACAACCACAGAUAUUGAAAAAUGUUCAUAAGCAAAUACUCAUAGUUGGAAACAGGUAGACAGCAGGUUUAAAUGUAGCACUGAAAAAAUAUAAGUCUUCAAUAUACUUCCAUCUCUUUUCUAACAAAAACCUCCUUAAUUAGCCAAAAGGUAAUUUUAGUAUGUGUAACAACUGAUGAGUAUAAUUUACAUACAGAAGUACUGUAACCUCAGUUCAAAAUAGAGCCAUUCAGAGAACUUAAGUAGCUUUUAGAAACAGGAGUUUCAGCAUUUCAGUGUAGCAAAAGAACCUCUAACUUCCUUGUAAUUUAAACUUUUCGCAUUCACAAAUUACUGAACUGUAAGUUACUCAUGAACCCACAGCCAAAUAAUUAUUUCUUGAAAGAACACGUCAAAAGGGAAAGGUGACCAUCAUGCCAACCUUGGAUCCUCUGCAAGGCCUGUCAACAGGGUAACAGAAAAAGCCAGUAUCAGUAAUAAAUGUGAGACAGCAACUCUCAGCCACCACUAUGAACAAGCAAGAAUCUGAUUUAUAAAGAGUCAACAUCUGUUGAGUAACCCUGUGACACUUCCAACCACAGCACACACAUCAGAAUAUCCCUUGCCAGAAAAAGCUUUAAAAAGGAACAAGAAAAGUUCUCAAAAACAUAAACAAAAUAAGGGUGCAAGAGAGCAAGUAAGAAACAGAUGAUGCUCAGCACAAGGUGUUUAGGCAAUUACACACACCUGAAGGCAAAGUCUCUACAUGGAUUUCCUUGCAAAUCAAGUAUCAAGUUACAAAUAUAUAAGUAUCUCAUAUCCAUAAGGGAAUCUGUCUUUUGGGUAGAGUCCUUUUCAUUCAUUACAAGAGAUGAAACAUGAAUGCUUGAUUUUUUUAUAAGAUCUAAUAAAGCAAAGAUCAUUGUGCCAUAGUCCUUCCUCAAGAUGUGUCUGUUUAUUUCUCUAUAGACUCAGUCC
Cyanistes caeruleus (blue tit) is the source of this 3910-nucleotide non-coding RNA. Lineage: Eukaryota; Metazoa; Chordata; Aves; Passeriformes; Paridae. The record is from RefSeq and is a predicted model, not a curated record.